UCGAAAUUGUAGUUUAAAUAAAAUAUUAGCAUUGGAAGUUAACGAUUAGGUUACAAUCCUACAUUUCGAA
RNAcentral lists this transfer RNA (70 nucleotides) under Babylonia areolata. RNAcentral describes it as "tRNA-Pro". It matches the Rfam family "tRNA". Rfam says of the family: Transfer RNA (tRNA) molecules are approximately 80 nucleotides in length. Their secondary structure includes four short double-helical elements and three loops (D, anti-codon, and T loops). Lineage: Eukaryota; Metazoa; Mollusca; Gastropoda; Neogastropoda; Buccinidae. The record is from RNAcentral.